CGGACGGGUGAGUAACGCGUGGGUAACCUGCCUCAUACAGGGGAGUAACAGUUGGAAACGACUGCUAAUACCGCAUAAGCGCACAGGAUUGCAUGAUCCAGUGUGAAAAACUACCGGUGGUAUGAGAUGGACCCGCGUCUGAUUAGCCAGUUGGCGGGGUAACGGCCCACCAAAGCGACGAUCAGUAGCCGACCUGAGAGGGUGACCGGCCACAUUGGGACUGAGACACGGCCCAA
This 236-nucleotide ribosomal RNA is filed under the name uncultured Bacillota bacterium. RNAcentral's name for it is "uncultured Firmicutes bacterium partial 16S ribosomal RNA". It matches the Rfam family "Bacterial small subunit ribosomal RNA", at positions 99 to 334 of the family's 1533-position model. Lineage: Bacteria; Bacillati; Bacillota. The record is from RNAcentral.